GCCUGGGUGGCUCAGUCAGUUGAGCAUCUGACUUUGGUUCAGGUCAUGAUCUUGCGGUUCAUGAGUUCGAGCCCCACAUCAGGCU
This 85-nucleotide transfer RNA is filed under the name Felis catus (domestic cat). It matches the Rfam family "tRNA". Rfam says of the family: Transfer RNA (tRNA) molecules are approximately 80 nucleotides in length. Their secondary structure includes four short double-helical elements and three loops (D, anti-codon, and T loops). The record is from Rfam by way of RNAcentral. Lineage: Eukaryota; Metazoa; Chordata; Mammalia; Carnivora; Felidae.